RNAcentral lists this unclassified non-coding RNA (244 nucleotides) under Glomus sp. RNAcentral describes it as "partial contains 5.8S ribosomal RNA and internal transcribed spacer 2". The stretch from base 1 to 65 matches the Rfam family "5.8S ribosomal RNA", at positions 84 to 154 of the family's 154-position model. The record is from RNAcentral. Lineage: Eukaryota; Fungi; Glomeromycota; Glomeromycetes; Glomerales; Glomeraceae.
GUGAAUCAUCGAAUUUUUGAACGCAAAUUGCACUCUCUUCGGAGAGUAUGCCUGUUUGAGGGUCAGCCUAUAAAAAAUCGACAUUGUUGCUGUUUUGGGGUGGAGUUCGUUGGAAAUUGGGUUAUUUUUAAUCCUUUUGGGUUUUAAGCGACUUAAAUUUUUUUUUUUGGUUCAAUGAACGUUUCUAAGAUUUAUUUUUUUACAUGUUUAAGGUAUUGAUUUUUUUUAGACGUGACUUUCAUAU